This is a long non-coding RNA of Prunus dulcis (almond), 462 nucleotides long. RefSeq lists it as uncharacterized. The record is from RefSeq and is a predicted model, not a curated record. NCBI's taxonomy places the organism in Eukaryota, Viridiplantae, Streptophyta, Magnoliopsida, Rosales, Rosaceae. The transcript has 2 exons.
AGAAGAAGAUGAAAAGAGAGGUUGUGGUGAGGUUCAAUCAGGGGUUUGGGUUUAAUGGUGGUGGAGGUGGUGGUGGGAAAGAUGACGGAGCUACUGCUAGAGGCAGCUUGGUUGGAUUUUGGAUGCAAUUGUUUCCAUUUGGGUACUCUCUUUCAUUUAGCAACUGAUUUGGGGUUCUUCUCACAAAUCUUAGUUCCUUUACAUUUCUGAAAAAAAAAACAGCUCCUUGUAGUGCUUGUAGCAAUUGUUGGUGUGGGUGCUUUUCUGUGGUGGGCAAGGCAGGAUAUGGUUCAAGACACUGUAAGGCUACUUCUAUUUUUUCUCUUGCUCACUUCUUAAAGCUCAUAGUUUUCUUCAACUGUGGUAUCAAACAUCUGUUGUUGCCUAGUUAAAACACAACCCAAGUUGUUGAGUGCCUUAAGUUCCAUGCUCUCAAUUUAAUUUCCAUGUUGGCACCUACAA